GGGCGGGUAGCUCAGGUGGCGAGAGCGCGGUCCUGAUAAGACCGAGGUCCCUGGUUCGAAUCCAGGCCCGCCCACCA
RNAcentral lists this transfer RNA (77 nucleotides) under bacterium HR23. Its description in RNAcentral is "tRNA-Ile". It matches the Rfam family "tRNA". From Rfam's summary of the family: Transfer RNA (tRNA) molecules are approximately 80 nucleotides in length. The record is from RNAcentral.